GAUGAACGCUAGCGGCAGGCCUAAUACAUGCAAGUCGAACGAGAUUAAGAGGCUUGCUUCUUAUGAAAGUGGCGCACGGGUGCGUAACGCGUAUGCAACCUACCUUAAUCAGGGGGAUAGCCCGAAGAAAUUCGGAUUAAGACCGCAUAAAAACACAGGAUAGCAUUAUCCAAUGUUCAAAUAUUUAUAGGAUUAAGAUGGGCAUGCGUGUCAUUAGCUAGUUGGCGGGGUAACGGCCCACCAAGGCGACGAUGACUAGGGGAUCUGAGAGGAUGACCCCCCACACUGGUACUGCGACACGGACCAGACUCCUACGGGAGGCAGCAGUAAGGAAUAUUGGUCAAUGGAGGGAACUCUGAACCAGCCAUGCCGCGUGCAGGAAGACAGCCCUCUGGGUCGUAAACUGCUUUUAUUCGGGAAUAAACCUUUCUACGUGUAGGAAGCUGAAUGUACCGAAGGAAUAAGGAUCGGCUAACUCCGUG
This 482-nucleotide ribosomal RNA is filed under the name uncultured bacterium. RNAcentral's name for it is "partial 16S ribosomal RNA". It matches the Rfam family "Bacterial small subunit ribosomal RNA", at positions 28 to 507 of the family's 1533-position model. The record is from RNAcentral.